RNAcentral lists this ribosomal RNA (531 nucleotides) under uncultured bacterium. Its description in RNAcentral is "bacterial SSU rRNA". It matches the Rfam family "Bacterial small subunit ribosomal RNA", at positions 978 to 1509 of the family's 1533-position model. The record is from RNAcentral.
CUCUUGACAUCCACGGAAUUUAGCAGAGAUGCUUUAGUGCCUUCGGGAACCGUGAGACAGGUGCUGCAUGGCUGUCGUCAGCUCGUGUUGUGAAAUGUUGGGUUAAGUCCCGNAACGAGCGCAACCCUUAUCCUUUGUUGCCAGCGGUUCGGCCGGGAACUCAAAGGAGACUGCCAGUGAUAAACUGGAGGAAGGUGGGGAUGACGUCAAGUCAUCAUGGCCCUUACGAGUAGGGCUACACACGUGCUACAAUGGCGUAUACAAAGAGAAGCGACCUCGCGAGAGCAAGCGGACCUCAUAAAGUACGUCGUAGUCCGGAUUGGAGUCUGCAACUCGACUCCAUGAAGUCGGAAUCGCUAGUAAUCGUGGAUCAGAAUGCUACGGUGAAUACGUUCCCGGGCCUUGUACACACCGCCCGUCACACCAUGGGAGUGGGUUGCAAAAGAAGUAGGUAGCUUAACCUUCGGGAGGGCGCUUACCACUUUGUGAUUCAUGACUGGGGUGAAGUCGUAACAAGGUAGGCGUAGAUGA